RNAcentral lists this ribosomal RNA (1172 nucleotides) under Marinobacter alkaliphilus. Its description in RNAcentral is "bacterial SSU rRNA". It matches the Rfam family "Bacterial small subunit ribosomal RNA", at positions 199 to 1357 of the family's 1533-position model. Lineage: Bacteria; Pseudomonadati; Pseudomonadota; Gammaproteobacteria; Pseudomonadales; Marinobacteraceae. The record is from RNAcentral.
CUGGAUGGCCUCUUCGGACCUUGCGCUACUGGAUGAGCCUAAGUCGGAUUACCUAGUUGGUGGGGUAAAGGCCUACCAAGGCGACGAUCCGUAGCUGGUCUGAGAGGAUGAUCAGCCACAUCGGGACUGAAACACGGCCCGAACUCCUACGGGAGGCAGCAGUGGGGAAUAUUGGACAAUGGGGGCAACCCUGAUCCAGCCAUGCCGCGUGUGUGAAGAAGGCUUUCGGGUUGUAAAGCACUUUCAGCGAGGAGGAAGGCCUUAAAGUUAAUACCUUUGAGGAUUGACGUUACUCGCAAAAAAAGCACCGGCUAACUCCGUGCCAGCCGCCGCGGUAAUACGGAGGGUGCAAGCGUUAAUCGGAAUUACUGGGCGUAAAGCGCGCGUAGGUGGUUAGGUAAACGAGAUGUGAAAGCCCCGGGCUUAACCUGGGAACGGGAUUUCCAACUGUCUGACUAAAGUGUGGUAAAAAGGUAGUGGAAUUUUCCUGUGUAGCGGUGAAAUGGGUAAAAAUAGGGGAACACCAGUGGCGAAGGCGGCUACCUGGACCAACACUGACACUGAGGUGCGAAAGCGUGGGGAGCAAACAGGAUUAGAUACCCUGGUAGUCCACGCCGUAAACGAUGUCAACUAGCCGUUGGGACUCUUGAAGUUUUAGUGGCGCAGCUAACGCACUAAGUUGACCGCCUGGGGAGUACGGCCGCAAGGUUAAAACUCAAAUGAAUUGACGGGGGCCCGCACAAGCGGUGGAGCAUGUGGUUUAAUUCGACGCAACGCGAAGAACCUUACCUGGCCUUGACAUCCAGAGAACUUUCCAGAGAUGGAUUGGUGCCUUCGGGAACUCUGAGACAGGUGCUGCAUGGCCGUCGUCAGCUCGUGUCGUGAGAUGUUGGGUUAAGUCCCGUAACGAGCGCAACCCCUAUCCCUGGUUGCUAGCAGGUAAUGCUGAGAACUCCAGGGAGACUGCCGGUGACAAACCGGAGGAAGGUGGGGAUGACGUCAGGUCAUCAUGGCCCUUACGGCCAGGGCUACACACGUGCUACAAUGGCGCGUACAGAGGGCUGCCAACUCGCGAGAGUGCGCCAAUCCCUUAAAACGCGUCGUAGUCCGGAUCGGAGUCUGCAACUCGACUCCGUGAAGUCGGAAUCGCUAGUAAUCGCGAAUCAGAACGG